Molecule: transfer RNA, 65 nt
Filed under: Dipodomys ordii (Ord's kangaroo rat)
Lineage: Eukaryota; Metazoa; Chordata; Mammalia; Rodentia; Heteromyidae
Rfam family: tRNA
About the family: Transfer RNA (tRNA) molecules are approximately 80 nucleotides in length. Their secondary structure includes four short double-helical elements and three loops (D, anti-codon, and T loops). Further hydrogen bonds mediate the characteristic L-shaped molecular structure. tRNAs have two regions of fundamental functional importance: the anti-codon, which is responsible for specific mRNA codon recognition, and the 3' end, to which the tRNAs corresponding amino acid is attached (by aminoacyl-tRNA synthetases). tRNAs cope with the degeneracy of the genetic code in two manners: having more than one tRNA (with a specific anti-codon) for a particular amino acid; and 'wobble' base-pairing, i.e. permitting non-standard base-pairing at the 3rd anti-codon position.
Source: Rfam by way of RNAcentral
GGCGGCUUAGUGGUAGAGUACUUGCCUUGCAUGCAUGAGGCCCUGGGUUCAAUUCCUCAGCACCA